RNAcentral lists this ribosomal RNA (497 nucleotides) under uncultured bacterium. RNAcentral describes it as "partial 16S ribosomal RNA". It matches the Rfam family "Bacterial small subunit ribosomal RNA", at positions 28 to 507 of the family's 1533-position model. The record is from RNAcentral.
GAUGAACGCUGGCGGCGUGCCUAAUACAUGCAAGUCGAGCGAACAGACGAGGAGCUUGCUCCUCUGACGUUAGCGGCGGACGGGUGAGUAACACGUGGAUAACCUACCUAUAAGACUGGGAUAACUUCGGGAAACCGGAGCUAAUACCGGAUAAUAUAUUGAACCGCAUGGUUCAAUAGUGAAAGACGGUUUUGCUGUCACUUAUAGAUGGAUCCGCGCCGCAUUAGCUAGUUGGUAAGGUAACGGCUUACCAAGGCAACGAUGCGUAGCCGACCUGAGAGGGUGGUCGGCCACACUGGAAGUGAGACACGGUCCAGGCUCCUACGGGAGGCAGCAGUAGGGAAUCUGCCGCAAUGGGGGGAAACCUGGCGGAGCAAGGGCGCGUGGGGUGUGAAGGUCUUCGGAUCGGAAAACUCUGUUAUUAGGGGAAAACCAAUUUGUAAGUAACUAUGCACGUCUUGACGGUACCUAAUCAGAAAGCCACGGCUAACUACGUG